AGAGUUUGAUCCUGGCUCAGGAUGAACGCUGGCGGCGUGCCUAAUACAUGCAAGUCGAGCGAACAGACGAGGAGCUUGCUCCUCCGACGUUAGCGGCGGACGGGUGAGUAACACGUGGAUAACCUACCUAUAAGACUGGGAUAACUUCGGGAAACCGGAGCUAAUACCGGAUAAUAUAUUGAACCGCAUGGUUCAAUAGUGAAAGACGGUUUUGCUGUCACUUAUAGAUGGAUCCGCGCCGCAUUAGCUAGUUGGUAAGGUAACGGCUUACCAAGGCAACGAUGCGUAGCCGACCUGAGAGGGUGAUCGGCCACGCUGGAACUGAGACACGGUCCAGACUCCUACGGGAGGCAGCAGAAGGG
RNAcentral lists this ribosomal RNA (362 nucleotides) under uncultured Staphylococcaceae bacterium. RNAcentral describes it as "bacterial SSU rRNA". It matches the Rfam family "Bacterial small subunit ribosomal RNA", at positions 8 to 359 of the family's 1533-position model. The record is from RNAcentral. Lineage: Bacteria; Bacillati; Bacillota; Bacilli; Caryophanales; Staphylococcaceae.